GCAAACUUGGUCAUUUAGAGGAAGUAAAAGUCGUAACAAGGUCUCCGUUGGUGAACCAGCGGAGGGAUCAUUACCGAGUUUACAACUCCCAAACCCCUAUGUGAACCUUACCAAUUCGUUGCCUCGGCGGGUCGCCCCGGGUGCGUCGCAGCCCCGGAACCAGGCGUCCGCCGGAGGACCAAAACUUUACAAACUCUUCUGUAUCGUCCCCUCGCGGAUGAAUGUCUUUUAUCUCUGAACAAUCUCGGCGCUCCUAGCGGGGUGUUCGAAAAUCAAUCAAAACUUUCAACAACGGAUCUCUUGGUUCUGGCAUCGAUGAAGAACGCAGC
RNAcentral lists this unclassified non-coding RNA (329 nucleotides) under uncultured fungus. RNAcentral describes it as "partial contains small subunit ribosomal RNA, internal transcribed spacer 1, and 5.8S ribosomal RNA". The stretch from base 1 to 73 matches the Rfam family "Eukaryotic small subunit ribosomal RNA", at positions 1759 to 1831 of the family's 1831-position model. The record is from RNAcentral. Lineage: Eukaryota; Fungi.